Gasterosteus aculeatus aculeatus (three-spined stickleback) is the source of this 274-nucleotide long non-coding RNA. Lineage: Eukaryota; Metazoa; Chordata; Actinopteri; Perciformes; Gasterosteidae. The record is from Ensembl.
UGAAUAUUCACAGACUGGUCUCUUUAUAUUGCAAUUGGGCCGGCGUCGACAUCAUGGUACCAACAUUGCUGGCAAAGACUCGACACGGGGACGGCCAAGCCGGCAUUGGUUUUCUUGGCGGCCUCGUGACUCGUCAUCGGAGUCCAAUCAGUCCUCGGACUCUUCCUCCGAAUCCAGCGAAUCCUCAGAGAGUCGGUCUUCAGAGGAGUCUGCCGAGGUCACUACACCAGAUGGGAGCACGUUCACUUCUGAACCAGACACAACGAUUUCAGAC